Molecule: long non-coding RNA, 209 nt
Filed under: Brassica napus (rape)
Lineage: Eukaryota; Viridiplantae; Streptophyta; Magnoliopsida; Brassicales; Brassicaceae
Description: long non-coding RNA (BNAP_LNC022696)
Source: RNAcentral
CACCUUGAAAUGAUAACAUUUGAACCCUUCUCUUCAUUCAUAUUUGACCAUUGCUUACCUAGCAAAAUGAUUGAGAUCAUGUGCCCAUUUGUGAGAAUUCACCUUGUGUGCGUGUGUGUGAAUCAAUGUGAGAGCUGGUUGAAGGGACUUGUUAGUUGAUGAGUAUUGCGACUUGUGUAGAGGCAUAAGAGUAGGGAUAGGCCUAGAGA